This 295-nucleotide ribosomal RNA is filed under the name Cellulomonas cellasea. RNAcentral's name for it is "partial 16S ribosomal RNA". It matches the Rfam family "Bacterial small subunit ribosomal RNA", at positions 62 to 354 of the family's 1533-position model. Lineage: Bacteria; Bacillati; Actinomycetota; Actinomycetes; Micrococcales; Cellulomonadaceae. The record is from RNAcentral.
UCGAACGGUGACGACGGGGCUUGCCCUGUCUGAUCAGUGGCGAACGGGUGAGUAACACGUGAGUAACCUGCCCUUGACUCUGGGAUAACCGCGGGAAACGGCGGCUAAUACCGGAUAUGAGACGUACAGGCAUCUGUUGCGUCUGGAAAGAUUUAUCGGUCAAGGAUGGGCUCGCGGCCUAUCAGCUUGUUGGUGGGGUGAUGGCCUACCAAGGCGACGACGGGUAGCCGGCCUGAGAGGGCGACCGGCCACACUGGGACUGAGACACGGCCCAGACUCCUACGGGAGGCAGCAG